Molecule: unclassified non-coding RNA, 374 nt
Filed under: uncultured Gammaproteobacteria bacterium
Lineage: Bacteria; Pseudomonadati; Pseudomonadota; Gammaproteobacteria
Description: contains 16S-23S intergenic spacer region
Source: RNAcentral
UCCUCCUUACAGAGGCAGUUUGAUCCGAGUUCCCGGCUUUAACCGCUGGCAACAGAUCAUGAGGGUUGCGCUCGUUGCGGGACUUAACCCAACAUUUCACAACACGAGCUGACGACAGCCAUGCACCACCUGUGCUCCACCCUCGAAGGCGACUCCGUUUUGGGAGCUUGCAGAAGCAUGUCAAGCCCUGGUAAGGUUCUUCGCGUUGCAUCGAAUUAAUCCACAUCAUCCACCGCUUGUGCGGGUCCCCGUCAAUUCCUUUGAGUUUUAAUCUUGCGACCGUACUCCCCAGGCGGUCAACUUCACGCGUUAGCUGCGUUACCAAGUCAAUUAAGACCCGACAACUAGUUGACAUCGUUUAGGGCGUGGACUAC